Molecule: ribosomal RNA, 305 nt
Filed under: uncultured bacterium
Lineage: Bacteria
Description: bacterial SSU rRNA
Rfam family: Bacterial small subunit ribosomal RNA
Source: RNAcentral
AAAACCUACGGGGGGCAGCAGUGGGGAAUAUUGGGCAAUGGGCGCAAGCCUGACCCAGCAACGCCGCGUGAAGGAAGAAGGCUUUCGGGUUGUAAACUUCUUUUCUCAGGGACGAAGAAAGUGACGGUACCUGAGGAAUAAGCCACGACUAACUACGUGCCAGCAGCCGCGGUAAUACGUAGGUGGCAAGCGUUAUCCGGAUUUACUGGGUGUAAAGGGAGCGUAGGCGGCAGUGCAAGUCAGAAGUGAAAGCCCGGGGCUCAACUCCGGGACUGCUUUUGAAACUGUACAGCUUGAUUGCAGGA